Molecule: ribosomal RNA, 273 nt
Filed under: uncultured bacterium
Lineage: Bacteria
Description: partial 16S ribosomal RNA
Rfam family: Bacterial small subunit ribosomal RNA
Source: RNAcentral
UACGAGAGGCCCAAACGUUAUUCGGAAUUACUGGGCUUAAAGAGUCCGUAGGCGGCGCAGAAAGUGGGGUGUGAAAGCCCUCGGCUCAACCGAGGAAUUGCGCUCCAAACUCCUGUGCUUGAGGAAUCUAGAGGUGAGCGGAACUGAUGGUGGAGCGGUGAAAUGCGUUGAUAUCAUCAGGAACACCGGAGGCGAAGGCGGCUCACUGGGGAUUUUCUGACGCUGAGGGACGAAAGCCAGGGGAGCGAACGGGAUUAGAAACCCCCGUAGUCC